RNAcentral lists this ribosomal RNA (332 nucleotides) under Salmonella enterica. RNAcentral's name for it is "partial 16S ribosomal RNA". It matches the Rfam family "Bacterial small subunit ribosomal RNA", at positions 1 to 329 of the family's 1533-position model. RNAcentral also lists the same sequence under 1 other name. The record is from RNAcentral. Lineage: Bacteria; Pseudomonadati; Pseudomonadota; Gammaproteobacteria; Enterobacterales; Enterobacteriaceae.
AAAUUGAAGAGUUUGAUCAUGGCUCAGAUUGAACGCUGGCGGCAGGCCUAACACAUGCAAGUCGAACGGCAGCGGGAAGUAGCUUGCUACUUUGCCGGCGAGUGGCGGACGGGUGAGUAAUGUCUGGGAAACUGCCCGAUGGCGGGGGAUAACUACUGGAAACGGUGGCUAAUACCGCAUGACGUCGCAAGACCAAAGAGGGGGACCUUAGGGCCUCUUGCCAUCGGAUGUGCCCAGAUGGGAUUAGCUAGUAGGCGGGGUAAUGGCCCACCUAGGCGACGAUCCCUAGCUGGUCUGAGAGGAUGACCAGCCACACUGGGACUGAGACACGG